AACGCACCUUGCGCUCCUUGGUAUUCCUCGGAGCAUGCCUGUUUGAGUAUCAUGGAAUUCUCAACUCCCAAGUUUCUUACCUGAAGCUGUGGUGAGCUUGGACUUGGAGGUCGUGUCGGUCUGCUUCAGUCGACUCCUCUGAAAUGUAUUAGCGUGAACCUUACGGAUCAUCUUCAACGUGAUAAUUGUCUGCGUUGUGGUUGUGAAGUACUUGUGCGUUCAUGCUUACAGUCGUCUCUUAACCCGAGACACUUUCUUGACUUCUGAUCUCAAAUCAGGUAGGACUACCCGCUGAACUUAA
This 301-nucleotide unclassified non-coding RNA is filed under the name uncultured Ceriporia. RNAcentral describes it as "sequence contains ITS2". The record is from RNAcentral. Lineage: Eukaryota; Fungi; Basidiomycota; Agaricomycetes; Polyporales; Phanerochaetaceae.